Molecule: long non-coding RNA, 509 nt
Filed under: Capsella rubella
Lineage: Eukaryota; Viridiplantae; Streptophyta; Magnoliopsida; Brassicales; Brassicaceae
Description: long non-coding RNA (CRUB_LNC003500)
Source: RNAcentral
UCCCACGAGCUGACCAACUGCACCAGAUGCAGCUGACACGAAGACGGUUUCUCCUUUCUUAGGAGAACAGAUUUCAUAAAACCCAGCAUAGGCAGUCAUGCCGGGCAUACCUGACAUAAACAGAGGAAUGCUUCUAAGACACACUAGUAAACUAUUGAAACUUGAAGUGUUUUGUAAACUGUUUUCAGAUUUGUUCACGAUAAAAGAGACUAUUCGACAUGAUUUGGAGCUUGUGUGCAAUGCAGCAUGCAUUAUAAUCAAAGACCAGACUAAUAUGGCAAUUGUAUAGCCAGCUUUCUCACUAUGAAAGUUGAAAAUGUCCCUAAAGAGAAACAGAGAUAACACACCGAGAAGUCCAGUGUAGUAUGAUAACGGAACAUCAGUGUGUUGGAUCUUGGAAUGUGAAAAAUCUGGAGUUAUAACACUGUACUCCUCCCAUCCAACUAAUCCCCAAAUUAAGUCUCCCUUUUUGAAAUCCGGGUGGCCAGAGUCUAUCACUUUAGACACUG